This is a long non-coding RNA of Carassius auratus (goldfish), 589 nucleotides long. RefSeq lists it as uncharacterized. The transcript has 4 exons. The record is from RefSeq and is a predicted model, not a curated record. NCBI's taxonomy places the organism in Eukaryota, Metazoa, Chordata, Actinopteri, Cypriniformes, Cyprinidae.
GGAAAGCAGAUCUUAUACAGAAGUGUCUUAACCCACAACAACAAGAUGAAGAUCAUUCAGCUUCAGCUCUAUGUAUUAAUGUGUUGUCAGUAUGCAGUGUCAGAUCUAUUAACUGAUCUGGGAUCAAAUGUGAUCAUAAACUGUGAUCUUGAUGAAAAGGAGGUUUAUUGGAUUUUACUGAAAACAGCAGAUCCUCCAACAGUCAUUCUACAAUCAUUCUCAACAUCAGCUUUUUACCAUAAUAAAACAUUCAAAAAUAAAUAUUCAGUGCAGUUUAAACAUCGUCUGGUUAUUAAUAAUGUGACUGCUGAUGAAUUAGGAGUUUAUUACUGCAUGAACACAGGCAUACCUCCAAAACUCAGCAACAGCACCAGAAUAUACUUCAACGAAGCAACCGUGUUAACUGAGUGCCACAAUCAUACAGUGACUGAAUAUAUUGAGCAGAAUCAGACACAGCGGAAGAUUAUUAUAAUCAUAGCAGGUCUGAUGAACGGACUUAUGAUCAUUGUACUGAUUGGGCUAUUAAAAGUUUUUGAUGGAAACAGAAGGUCAGCAGAACAAUCACAACUCAACACUGAUCUACAGCAGA